GCUCAGAGAGGGGUCAAUGUCCUAUCAGCUAGUUGGCAGGGUAAAGGCCUACCAAGGCGAAGACGGGUAGCCGGCCUGAGAGGGUGGUCGGCCACAUUGGGACUGAGACACUGCCCAGACUCCUACGGGAGGCUGCAGUCGAGAAUCUUUCGCAAUGCCCGGAAGGGUGACGAAGCGACGCCGCGUGUGGGAAGAAGGCCUUCGGGUUGUAAACCACUGUCGGGAGUUAAGAAGUGUAAGGGGGUGAAUAGCCCUCUUACUUGACGUUAGCUCCGGAGGAAGCCACGGCUAACUCUGUGCCAGCAGCCGCGGUAAUACAGAGGUGGCAAGCGUUGUUCGGAAUUAUUGGGCGUAAAGAGCACGUAGGCGGCCCUACAAGUCAGCUGUGAAAUCCUUCUGCUCAACGGAAGAACGGCAGUUGAUACUAUAGGGCUGGAGUGCGGGAGGGGAGAGUGGAACUUCUGGUGGAGCGGUGAAAUGCGUAGAUAUCAGAAGGAACAUCGGCGGCGAAAGCGACUCUCUGGCCCGUAACUGACGCUGAGGUGCGAAAGCUAGGGGAGCAAACGGGAUUAGAUACCCCGGUAGUCCUAGCCGUAAACGAUGGGCACUCGGUAGA
Molecule: ribosomal RNA, 616 nt
Filed under: uncultured Planctomycetales bacterium
Lineage: Bacteria; Pseudomonadati; Planctomycetota; Planctomycetia; Planctomycetales
Description: bacterial SSU rRNA
Rfam family: Bacterial small subunit ribosomal RNA
Source: RNAcentral